RNAcentral lists this unclassified non-coding RNA (475 nucleotides) under uncultured fungus. RNAcentral's name for it is "sequence contains 18S rRNA gene, ITS1, 5.8S rRNA gene, ITS2, 28S rRNA gene". The record is from RNAcentral. Lineage: Eukaryota; Fungi.
UGGCUGAAUCGCCGCGGAGCCCGAUAGUUCAGGAUGGCCCGUGAGGCCAGGGGCGGUGGACUUGUGGCCAGUGGUUGGUUCAUGGUGCCUACCCUCACUUCCCCACAACCUUCCACGUCGUUCCCCGACCCUGCCCCGACGAUUGGACCUUCCCGUCCUCCCUCAGCUGCUUCAGCGCCGCCGACACCGUCCCGCCGUUCAGCUUCGUCGCAGCCACCAGUUCAUGGUUCGCCACUCGAUCCUUUCCGUUCAUGGCCUGCAACACGGCCUUGACCUGUGCGCCGGUGAGGGUGUCGAGUUCAUCCAUGCCAACCUCCAUCGACGGUGCAUCAGUUGUUUCCCGGUCUCGCGCGCCGUGGCGCUGGGCCGACGAUCACAAACCCCCGCGCUAUCCACGCAUCCCGCUCGUUCGCCAACUCCAACCCCGGCAAUCCUCCCUCUUGGAAGAUGAACCACUCGGGCUUCACGCUGCACU